UCAUUUUAAGGAAAAUAAUAAAAGGUGUUAAGGUGGUAAUUUUGUAAUUGUGUAAACAUGAUAUUUAGGUGAUUAAUGCACAAAAUAUCGAUUUUUUACAAACUGCUGACAUAGAUUUCUAUAGGCAGAGAUGAUCAAGAUCUCAAUCAAGGGUGUUCACCGAAGGCAAGAAAACCAAGAAACGACCAGGAAGAGGUUUAAAAAGGGCUAAGUGAAGGAGGUUAAGCUUGAAGAUCAAGGAUGAGAUUUGGUUAAGGUCACCAGUACAAGGUAUGCUCAAACACUAAUACAUAGUUGGUGUAUGUGAUGGACGAUUUCUCAUUCGAACCAUUCCAAGAUACAUGGUGAAGGAACACACUUUUUUUUACUGUUAAAAUUUUCUUGAAUUUUGCUAGUCUUAGUCCAUGCAUGUUUACUAACAACAACAUAUCCAUAAAUUAGCUAGCAAUUAGAAAGAGGAGUGAUAAUCAAAGGGUUCAAAGCAAUAAGCCUACUGGGAUGUAUUUGUAAACUGAUUACGAGGUUUUAGCCAAGCGAAUGAUAAAAGUUUGGAUAAAGUGAUUGGGGAAUGUGCACAUGCUUUUGUUGAAGGAAGAUAGAUUAAGGGUGUGGUUCUAGUGACAAACAAGGUAUGGAUGAUCUUGUGUUUAGAAAUAGAGAUGGAAUUCUGUGUAAACUUAAUAUGAAGAAGGCUUAUGACCACGUCAAUUGGAGUGUCGUAUAUUGUAUGCUAACGAGAAACGAGUUUUGGUGAUAAAUGGCG
Molecule: long non-coding RNA, 763 nt
Filed under: Carica papaya (papaya)
Lineage: Eukaryota; Viridiplantae; Streptophyta; Magnoliopsida; Brassicales; Caricaceae
Description: long non-coding RNA (CPAP_LNC014003)
Source: RNAcentral